GACAGCCCAGCGGGCCUUAACCCUCAUUAGCGUUAACCCAUAGGGAGAGCCCGCCUUGGUGGUUCCCAGACACCUGAAGGGAGCAUGAAACAGACUUAGCUGUAACUGCUCUGUGGGGAUGAGGAUUCCUCAAGGCUGGAAGCAGAGCUUGUAAGCCCACUGGUGAACUGGCUCCGUGUCUGUGUGGCUGGUCUCCUUUCUCAAAGGUAGUGUCUUCUCUCUACUCUUCUCCUCCAGAGUCUGCGACACCCCCAGCUCUAUCUCCCCACCUCCACCCCAGCUUCCAAGUGAAGUUUAUUUCUCUCAGUGUGCCAUUCCCCCUCAUUGUGUCUUGUAAUUGGGGAAUGAAUGAAAGACACCUUUUCUUGGUGGAGCUGUCCAGUGCAAGCCACUCUGCCUUACUCCGCUGCUGGUCCUCCCAUAGGCAUAGGUCCCUGAUCUGUGCUGCCUGGGAAGGCUGGAUCCACCAGGACCCAUGAACGAGGGACCCCUCCUCCCUGGGGCACCAGGGUUACAGGCCUGGAGACACAAGAAUCCCCGCGGUGUUAAGCAGAGGUCAGGAUUUCUGCCUCUAGGUCUGUAAAGAGAAGGUGUGGGGAGGGAUCCGCUUGACUUUGCAUAUAAAAGAAAUAGCCUAACUUAGAGGUGGGCUGUGAGCAGCUCGAGGUUCUUCUGCCUCUGCCAGUCCCUCUGCCUCCGCCGUGUGGCUGGUUCUGUGUGUUUGCCUGCAGCAGUGGAUGGUUCUCAUUUAGCCUGUGGGCUGUUUGUCUUCCCCUUCAGUGCUCAGGGUGGCAGAGAAAUGUUCUUUCUGGCUCCUCUGCUAGUUGAAUCUCUGGGAUGGUGGAACCCAGGGUACACCCAGGAGGUGGAGGAGGAGGCAGAAACACUGCUCUGUGCCUUGCCUCAUCUGUGUCUUGCUCGCUCCCCCAGUGCCCUCCUGGGGUGGGAGAGGUCACCACGCCUGCCUGGGCUGUUUGGAGUCCUGGUUGGGGGGCGCCUCAUGGCAGCCACAGCUGCACCUCUGCCGGCUCUGGAGGAGCUUCUUUCUCAGGGCGCUGAGCAGAAACCCUUGACAGAUGGGCCUCCGUGAAUUCAUGGAGGUGUUCCAAUGCCUUCACAUUGUGGCUGCUCAGGGCUCCGGCUCACCUGUUGGAGAAAGCCUUUUCCCAGCCUGCCCCCACCCAUGGGGCGCCCUCUUCCAGGAGUAGAGGCCUGAGUGCUGGCAGGUUUGCUCGCGGUCAAUGGAAAGAGACUGCUGCUCCCUGCCCUCCUGUCAGACCCUCCGUUCACCCAGUUUCUGGACUAGCUGGGACUGCCCGCCUUUCUGCGCUCACCCUCACUCCCUAGGGCUGUUGGAGGGGGAGUUCUGGAGUGUAGUUGGAGGAGCACCAUGUCUGAAUCCCUCCAUAGACACAGACAGGGUUGGUAUUGGUAUCUGGGGGUGGGAUGUGGGAGUCUGCGUCUGAGGCCAGCUGCCUUUAGGUAUUUCUACUCCCACAAGAGUCUGAAAAACUGUCAGUCAGUGUCAGUGUAUGUAAAAGGGGCUGUAUUUGGGGCUCCCAGUGCUUGAUGAGGACUUGAAAAGACCUGCCUCAAAGCGCUGCGAU
RNAcentral lists this long non-coding RNA (1607 nucleotides) under Sus scrofa (pig). RNAcentral describes it as "lncRNA (ENSSSCG00005023164.1)". The record is from RNAcentral. Lineage: Eukaryota; Metazoa; Chordata; Mammalia; Artiodactyla; Suidae.